GCGCAGCAGGCGCGAAAACUUCACACUGUGCGAAAGCACGAUGAGGGAAUCCCAAGUGCUUGCACGUAAGUGUAAGCUGUUUCUCUGUCUAAAAACGCAGAGAGAGUAAGGGCUGGGUAAGACGGGUGCCAGCCGCCGCGGUAAUACCUGCAGCUCAAGUGGUGACCGUUAUUAUUGGGCCUAAAACGUCCGUAGCCGGUUUAAUAAAUGCCUGGGUAAAUUGUGUAGCUUAACUAUACGAAUUCCGGGUAGACUGUUAAGCUUGAGACCGGGAGAAGUUAGAGGUACUCCUGGGGUAGAGGUGAAAUUCUGUAAUCCUAGGGGGACCACCAGUGGCGAAGGCGUCUAACUAGAACGGGUCUGACGGUGAGGGACGGAGCCCGUGGGGCGCAAACGGGAUUAGAUACCCGCGUAGUCCCUGGACUGCCAAGGCAC
RNAcentral lists this ribosomal RNA (435 nucleotides) under uncultured microorganism. Its description in RNAcentral is "bacterial SSU rRNA". It matches the Rfam family "Archaeal small subunit ribosomal RNA", at positions 330 to 765 of the family's 1478-position model. The record is from RNAcentral.